CCUACGGGAGGCAGCAGUAGGGAAUAUUGGGCAAUGGAGGCAACUCUGACCCAGCCAUGCCGCGUGCAGGAAGAAGGCGUUAUGCGUUGUAAACUGCUUUUAUAUAGGAAGAAAUAGUCCUUGCGAGGAAAGUUGACGGUACUAUAUGAAUAAGCACCGGCUAACUCCGUGCCAGCAGCCGCGGUAAUACGGAGGGUGCAAGCGUUGUCCGGAUUUAUUGGGUUUAAAGGGUGCGUAGGCGGUUUAUAAGUCAGUGGUGAAAGACGGUCGCUCAACGAUUGCAGUGCCAUUGAUACUGGUAGACUUGAGUGGGAUUGAGGUAGCUGGAAUGGAUAGUGUAGCGGUGAAAUGCAUAGAUAUUAUCCAGAACACCAAUUGCGUAGGCAAGUUACUAAGUCUCAACUGACGCUGAGGCACGAAAGUGUGGGUAUCAAACAGGAUUAGAUACCCUGGUAGUCCACACUGUAAACGAUGAUAACUACUGUUGCUUUCGGUCAGUGUACAGAGAAUCGUUAAGUUAUCCACCUGGAGACGCGCGACGAGAACGUACGAGUAGUAGUAGUACGCGUGAGACGUAGCGACGGACGACGACGAGGGAGGAGG
RNAcentral lists this ribosomal RNA (603 nucleotides) under uncultured bacterium. RNAcentral's name for it is "bacterial SSU rRNA". The stretch from base 1 to 526 matches the Rfam family "Bacterial small subunit ribosomal RNA", at positions 338 to 873 of the family's 1533-position model. The record is from RNAcentral.